This 1180-nucleotide long non-coding RNA is filed under the name Sus scrofa (pig). RNAcentral's name for it is "lncRNA (ENSSSCG00055005302.1)". Lineage: Eukaryota; Metazoa; Chordata; Mammalia; Artiodactyla; Suidae. The record is from RNAcentral.
CCCUCGCCAAAGUGUGUACAGAGGGAACAUUCCUGAACAUAAUCAAAGCCAUUUAUGAUAAACCCACAGCAAAUAUAAUACUCAAUGGGGAAAUACAUAAGUGUUUUAAAUGCUGCUUUUUCUUUGGUAAUACACCAAAUGUUUGCACAAGCAAAAAGGAUUAGAGAAAAAUAUGAUGAAUUUCCCACUGCAUUUGAAAGAAUGUGAAGGAACAGUUUGGAUAAUCCAAGCACAUGUCGCAAUCUGUAGAAAAUGACCUUUGUCUUCAGAGAUGGAGACAUGUCCUUUAAAAACACUGAUUUAAAAGGAGAAUAUGUUUUACAAUGUAUCACAGUGCACAAGCAGGCCCAGAUAUUCUGUGGAUUGAGUUUGAGGUUCUUAAGGUUUUUCUAAAUGUCUCCAGCUGGGUGGGAGCAGGAGUGAAAGGAUGGUGUAAUAGUUGAGCAAACAGCUGAGUUAAAUGAAUUGGACUUGGAAUUAGGGCUCUAUCAUCCAUCAGAUGUGUGAAUUCUUGGCAAGGAUACUUCACUUCUCUGAGACUCAGUUUCUUCACCUUCAAAAUGGGUUUCUUAACACCUGCCUUGAAGGUGGUCAGGAAAAUUAAAUGACUGAUGUAUUUAAGGCACUUGGGUUCUAAUUGCAUGAUUCUAGAUUGGGGCACCCAGCAUUUUAUCAACCACCAUCAAUUCUCAUGUUGUGGAUUAAAAAAUGACAGGACAUGUAACUGCCCACGUAGGACCAGUGUUUAUCUGUCCCUUAUUAAGUGAAGCAGUCACGACCUAAAGGAAUGGUAUUGUUAGAAUUUGAAUCUAGGUUGAAGCUUUCUUUCUUCUUUGGCUUGUUGCUUUUAGUUGAAGUGGAUAGAAGGUUUCCUCUUUCCCAGAAAUUCCCAGCAUGGAAUGUUGCUGUGAUUUCAUGGCAGCUUUUGUGGAUUUUGUGCCCAAGGACCUGGAUCCAAGGAUUGGUUUUACAACAUUCCAGCCCAGCUGUAGGAAAAUGGGAUAGUCAUACACCAUCUAAAUUCCCUUUGCAUGAAAUGGAAAAUCAAGGUUUCUUACUCACAAUGGGCUUGAAAGGAUUGCUUGAAGCAAUGUAUAUACAUAUUGUUUAUGAGUUUGGAAUCCAAAUGGUUAGCGUUUGCUAUUAUACCAACUGGGCCAUUUUCUUUGAUCUGGCAUGA